AAAAACACAAAGACGCGAAUCAUUCUGAAGCCUCAUAUAGUACAAAAUGUAUUUGUGAUUACCAUGUCUAUUUCAGCAAACAAGAUAUAAGCACACCACUCAUAUAUAAAGGGCGAAUGAAUGACUUUUAACUUAUAAUCAAUACACAUCCUAACAAAUGAAAAAUCAUUCACCAAAAAGAACCUAACUCAGGUCUUUUAUUAAUGUCCUGAUCCUUGAGAAUCCUCCUCCGGAGAUUGUUGUUGUUGUUGAUGUUGCUGCUGCGGAUGUUGCAUUCUUGCCUGCUGGUAUAUCUGGUUCAAAACCCCUAAAUGACCCUCUUGAGAUAAUCCCAGUUCCAAUCCUGGCAGUUGCUGAUUACUUCCACCAAGAAUUGAAGUAAAACACAUCGGAUUCAUACUUGUAGCUGCAGGCAGAUCAAAUCCAGGAAACCCAAUUUUCUGUAAGUAAUAAUUUGAACUAUCACUACCUAAACUCGCGCUUGAUGGAGCAGAUGAGGAUUGAAACCCAAAACUAGUGACAACAGGGGCAGGGGCAGGCCACAUUCCUGCUGUAGCCAAAUGGGGUCUUCCAAAAUUCCCACAGAUCAUUGGCCAAUUGGUCCUACUAUUACUACUUCUACUGCUACCAGACCCCGCGAUAUUCGCCCCCGAUUCAAUCAUUAAACCAGCUGAUACAGAGAUCCCCUGUUGAGAAACAGAGGCUGCUGCAGCUAAAGCCGAGGCAGGUAUUGUCCCUGUGCCAGUAGCAGCAAUAAUCGAAGGCUCGGCUUGCUGCAGCAGCCACUGAAUUGUCUCACCAUCAGAUUUAUGACCCAAU
RNAcentral lists this unclassified non-coding RNA (819 nucleotides) under Hevea brasiliensis (rubber tree). Lineage: Eukaryota; Viridiplantae; Streptophyta; Magnoliopsida; Malpighiales; Euphorbiaceae. The record is from RNAcentral.